Molecule: transfer RNA, 77 nt
Filed under: Acidobacteria bacterium ADurb.Bin340
Lineage: Bacteria; Pseudomonadati; Acidobacteriota
Also listed under: 1 other name
Description: tRNA-Val
Rfam family: tRNA
About the family: Transfer RNA (tRNA) molecules are approximately 80 nucleotides in length. Their secondary structure includes four short double-helical elements and three loops (D, anti-codon, and T loops). Further hydrogen bonds mediate the characteristic L-shaped molecular structure. tRNAs have two regions of fundamental functional importance: the anti-codon, which is responsible for specific mRNA codon recognition, and the 3' end, to which the tRNAs corresponding amino acid is attached (by aminoacyl-tRNA synthetases). tRNAs cope with the degeneracy of the genetic code in two manners: having more than one tRNA (with a specific anti-codon) for a particular amino acid; and 'wobble' base-pairing, i.e. permitting non-standard base-pairing at the 3rd anti-codon position.
Source: RNAcentral
GGGCACGUAGCUCAGGUGGUUAGAGCGCUAUCUUGACACGGUAGAGGUCGCUGGUUCGAGUCCAGCCGCGCCCACCA